This 183-nucleotide small nuclear RNA is filed under the name Dermacentor andersoni. RNAcentral's name for it is "U2 spliceosomal RNA". It matches the Rfam family "U2 spliceosomal RNA". From Rfam's summary of the family: U2 is a small nuclear RNA (snRNA) component of the spliceosome (involved in pre-mRNA splicing). Lineage: Eukaryota; Metazoa; Arthropoda; Arachnida; Ixodida; Ixodidae. The record is from RNAcentral.
ACAUGGCCCACGCGGGUCAAAGUACAGUAUCUGUUCUUAUCAGCCUGAUGUCUGAUACGGGUUGUAUUUGGACGUAAGACAUAUAAACUUAUAUUUACAAGUUGGCAGAGUGCUUAAACCCUGCUUCACCUCCUCUGCGAGUGGGCCCGGUAUUGUACUAUCUUCCGGAUUGGCCCAAGUAUG